Molecule: long non-coding RNA, 848 nt
Filed under: Marmota monax (woodchuck)
Lineage: Eukaryota; Metazoa; Chordata; Mammalia; Rodentia; Sciuridae
Source: RNAcentral
GGGGAGUGCGCUUUGCUUUCCCGGGGUCUGGGGCUAAUUCUUCCUCUCUUACCAUAAACUCAGCUCCUCGAGCUAAAUGCAUAAAAGGGAGCGAGAGAUUUGAACCACUAGAACAAGUAUAUUAUAUAUAGUAGGUUUAGAGAGACGAGUAAGAGGAAAAAAACAAUAAACACUACAGCUCUCUCCAGCUAAUAUAUUAGGCACCACGAGAAAAAUGUUUGCCAAGCAGUGUUCGGUGGGUUCAUUUGCUUUAUUUUUUUAUUUGGGACUGGGGUGGAGGGUGUUUUUGAGCUUUUUCUUUUUGAUGUGAUGGCUUGGGAUUUCUGGUUGUUGUAUUUUGAAGAUUUUCGGAUUUUUGCCUCUGAUUUUUGCCUUUUGCAAGUUUGUGGUGUUACGUAAAGCUUAGGAUCCGUCAUCGGUUGAUUCUUGUUUUGUGUGCGUUCUUUCUCUCCCUAUCUAAUCGCUCAAGCAUUUUAAAGAAGAUGUAUUAUUUCAAUACUGAUACUAUUGAAAGACGCUUACAUUUUUAAUCAUAUGUGACAAUCCCAACCCCCAUUUUCCCCCCUUUGGUGCAAUUUCCUUUUCCCCUUGGACUUUUACUGAAGAGAGGCUGUCCUGCACUGGAGAGAAAUGCUCCAAGAAUUUGUUUUGUUUUGGUUUGUUUCUUUCCAGGAUAGCAAGUGGUGGGUUUACUCUGUUAUUGUUGACUCUUAGGGAAUUUCUUGUUGCAAGAAACGUGUGUAUUUGGAUAUGUGUACGUGUGUGUUCUGCAGAAUUCUGUGAGCCAAAUACAUGUUUGUGUUUUGAUUUUCCUUUUUGGGUUAAUUCUUUGAUUUCUUUCUUUUUUU